This 1536-nucleotide long non-coding RNA is filed under the name Malus domestica (apple). RNAcentral describes it as "long non-coding RNA (MDOM_LNC012186)". Lineage: Eukaryota; Viridiplantae; Streptophyta; Magnoliopsida; Rosales; Rosaceae. The record is from RNAcentral.
GCUAAACUUAUACAACCGCAAAAUUUUAUGAAAGGUUAAACAAGUUAGCGUGCAAGCGUACGAAUUGUUCGAUAGUAUAGAAAGCAAGCACUUAAUAUCGUCCCUAAAAAAAUGAUUUAAUUCUUAUCAACUAACUUAAAUCCAAUUGCACUAAGUAAAAUUAGCAAAGAUUGAUGAAAGAUGGAUUUGAGAAUUGAAACUAAUAGUAAAAACAAAUGAAAACAAGAAAGUUUGAUCACAAUGCAAAAAGUGGCAGCUAAGAAAACAAGUUGUAAUUCAAUUGAGUAAAACACUAGAGCAUCCGACUCACCAUAACCAAUCCUACUUAUUUCCUGCAACGAAUUAUUAUCAAGUACUCAAUCUCAUUGAAAGUCAAAUUUCCCUAAUUCAUGUAAUAUCUAUGGCAUCUAGACUAUUACGUAUAUCCCAAUUUGUAACCAUCCAUGGCAUCUAGAAUAGUUUAACAUCAUGAAACUCAUUACGAUCAGUGGAAAUUUAUAUAAAGACUACACAAAUCCUAUAGUAUGGCAUCUACUCUAGGUAAUUUAUGGUAUCUAUUUGCAAGAAGCUAUCACUCAAGUUAAAAACAUGGCAUCUGCACAACUUGCAUCACAUUUACUAAGUAAAAGUCAAGAUGGUAGCUAAUCACCAAGACUAAAACCAAGCAUAAAAGCACAUCAAACAAUACUCAAUGAAAUUUGAAAACUUGAAAAUAAUUCAAUUCAGAAUUUAAGCAUUCAUAGUCAUGGCUACAGCGUAGCCCUAACCAAGGAGAAUUAGUUCUGAAACAUAACUGAAAGUAUGAUUGAAGUCAUAAAAAAAAAAUUAAAAGAAAAACUAAGUUUAGAAAAUCCUGAAAUCCCCGUGCUCUGCCACUGCCUUCUUCUAUUUGCUCUCCUUCUAGAAAAAAAUUGAUCAAUUCUUUUCCUUCUUUUCCCCUUUUACGUUUCCGUAACCGAUGAAAGAUUAACCUCAAUUGAUUGUUGACAGUAAAAGAUAGGAAACAGUAAAAGUCUUCAAUUAUGUCCUAGCCACUCUUUGGUACAUUAAAGCACCCAAAUGAAUUAUGCAUCUAUUAACAUUAAGCUCAUGCCUUUGAUCUCCUUGCUACUGCUUGCCCUUUGUUUCAAUAACUCUUUCAUUGCCAUCAAUAAAUCCACUUAUAUAACAGCCAAGUCUCUCUUAUUUUGUAGAGCAAAAAUCCUUCCACGCCAAAACCCAUAAGCAUCGACAUCCUCAUUCCAAAAUAUAUUCACUUUGAAUUACAACACCCUGGAAUCUAUGAACCCGAGGACCUUUGUUUCCUUCUUUUCAUUCUCCACCAAUUUUGCAACUGCAAUUUCACCAACUCAAUCGCUGCCUCUUUGAUGCGAUCUCCCAUUUUUUUUAUUUUGUAGCAGUCAAUUCCCCACUUUUCUUUGAGAUAGUGAGUUGGUUCCUCCUAGAAAAUGGUAAAAGUUGCAAGCCUUUCAAUCAUCUUUUAAGACUAUUCAAAUUGAAGUUUGAUGCCCUUUAGGUACUAAAGUGGCCACGUUG